RNAcentral lists this ribosomal RNA (769 nucleotides) under uncultured bacterium. RNAcentral's name for it is "bacterial SSU rRNA". It matches the Rfam family "Bacterial small subunit ribosomal RNA", at positions 9 to 768 of the family's 1533-position model. The record is from RNAcentral.
GAGUUUGAUCCUGGCUCAGGAUGAACGCUAGCUACAGGCUUAACACAUGCAAGUCGAGGGGCAGCAUGAUCAAAGCUUGCUUUGAUUGAUGGCGACCGGCGCACGGGUGAGUAACGCGUAUCCAACCUUCCCCUUAGUAGGGCAUAGCCCGGCGAAAGUCGGAUUAACACCCUAUGUUGUUCAUUGAGAGCAUUUGACGUGAACCAAAGAUUCAUCGCUAAGGGAUGGGGAUGCGUCUGAUUAGGUAGUCGGCGGGGUAACGGCCCACCGAGCCUUCGAUCAGUAGGGGUUCUGAGAGGAAGGUCCCCCACAUUGGAACUGAGACACGGUCCAAACUCCUACGGGAGGCAGCAGUGAGGAAUAUUGGUCAAUGGGCGAGAGCCUGAACCAGCCAAGUAGCGUGCAGGAUGACGGCCCUAUGGGUUGUAAACUGCUUUUGUACGGGAAUAAAGUCAGGGACGUGUCCCUGUUUGUAUGUACCGUAAGAAUAAGGACCGGCUAAUUCCGUGCCAGCAGCCGCGGUAAUACGGAAGGUCCGGGCGUUAUCCGGAUUUAUUGGGUUUAAAGGGAGCGCAGCUGCCUGUUAAGCGUGACGUGAAAUGCCGCGGCUCAACCGUGGAAGUGCGUCGCGAACUGGCGGGCUUGAGUGUGCACGAGGAAGGCGGAAUUCGUGGUGUAGCGGUGAAAUGCUUAGAUAUCACGAAGAACUCCGAUUGCGAAGGCAGCCUUCCAGGGCAUUACUGACGCUAAGGCUCGAAGGUGCGGGUAU